RNAcentral lists this transfer RNA (74 nucleotides) under Candidatus Omnitrophota bacterium. Its description in RNAcentral is "tRNA-Val". It matches the Rfam family "tRNA". From Rfam's summary of the family: Transfer RNA (tRNA) molecules are approximately 80 nucleotides in length. RNAcentral also lists the same sequence under 1 other name. Lineage: Bacteria; Pseudomonadati; Candidatus Omnitrophota. The record is from RNAcentral.
GGGUGUGUAGUUUAAUGGUAAAACAUCAUCUUUACAUGGUGAUUUUAGCGGUUCAAUUCCGUUCACGCCUACCA